AAGUCGUAACAAGGUCUCCGUAGGUGAACCUGCGGAGGGAUCAUUAACAAACAUUUUAUUGUCCCUGUGCAAAUGUCUGUUCCUGGGAGCGGUCGGGCGAUCGAGCGAUCGGGCGAUCGAGCGCACCCAGGACACCACACACACACACUACCAGAUGAUGAUGCAUGGGAACGCAAACAACUUUUAACAAUGGAUCUCUAGGCUCUC
This 207-nucleotide unclassified non-coding RNA is filed under the name fungal sp. RNAcentral describes it as "partial internal transcribed spacer region". The stretch from base 1 to 46 matches the Rfam family "Eukaryotic small subunit ribosomal RNA", at positions 1786 to 1831 of the family's 1831-position model. The record is from RNAcentral. RNAcentral also lists the same sequence under 1 other name. Lineage: Eukaryota; Fungi.